UACAAAAAAAAAAAAAAAAAAAAAAUCCAGAAAUGGAGUUCAGUCUUAGCGGAAACGCACUCAAGACCUUCGCUCGGUCCAUCACUUGCCUCGCGCGUAUCGGAAACGAGCUCGCCAUCCAAGCCUCUCCUUCUCAGCUCGUAUUUCACACUCUUAAUUCUUCGCGAUCUGCCUAUCAAUCCAUUAUUUUUAAGUCCAGCUUCUUUGAUGUGUAUACAAUUUCUGGUGCUCAAGUCCAAUGCAGUGUGCUUUUGAAGGCCAUUUGUUCUGUUCUUAGGACACCUAUUCCAAGUAUUGAUCAUCUCAGCGUGCAAUUUCCUGAUCCUGAUGCGUCAAAAGUGCAAUGGACUUUGGAAUGCUUCAAUGGUAUGAGAAAAGCCUAUUGGAUUACUUGCAAUGUUGAGCCCGACAUACAACAUUUAUCACUUGAUAGGAGAAGAUUCCCGAGCAGCCUAGUGGUGAGGCCUCGUGAUCUCAACAGACUGCUUGCUAAUUUUCAAUCAUCACUCCAGGAGAUUACUGUCAUUGCAACAGAAUAUGCCUCCUUACCUUCAGAUGCUGCUAGUGAAAUAGGUGGAAAAGCUGUUGAACUUAGAAGUUAUAUAGAUCCAACCAAAGAGAAUGACUCUUCGCUGCAUACUCAACUUUGGAUAGAUCCUGCAGAAGAAUUUGUUCAGUAUACUCACACUGGAUACCCUGUAGAUGUGACAUUUGGUGUGAAGGAAUUGAAGGCAUUCCUCGCUUUCUGUGAGGGCUGUGAAGUGGACAUUCAUUUAUAUUUUGAAAAAGCUGGAGAGCCUAUUUUAAUGGCUCCAAAAUUUGGUUUAGAUGAUGGAUCUAGUUCAAAUUUUGAUGCUACACUUGUUCUUGCAACCAUGCUCAUCUCACAGCUUAAUGAAGGUAAUUCGUCAGAACGUCCACAAGCGGCCUCAACGACACAUGGUCAGGCUGUGAAUGGGACUGGGUCGCAACCACAAGGGAUAAAUAGAGCAAAUAUUUCAGAGCAUCCUUCUGAUCACACCAGAAUUUGGUCUGAACUUUCAGGAAGUGCAGCAAGAAGUGGCAGUGGCACUGAAGAAAGACAUGCUCAACAACAAAGAAACUUGAAUUCUACCGAACAGGGGGAAAUACAAAGGAUUAGCAUGAUGCAUAUAUCAAAAGAUACAUCUGCUAGAGAAAGUGCUCCUGCUGGUUCAAGGUGUCAUCCUAUGGAAAAGCAUCAGAAAGAAGCUAGAGAGAGGUCAGAAACUAAUGGUAAUGGACCUUCACAACGACACCCUAGUAAUUGGGUAGAUGCAGAUGAGGAUGAUGACGACGACAACGAUGCAGAUGAAAAUGAAUUAUGUGUUCAAUCAACACCACCAUACUAUGAAGAGCAGUAGCACCAGUUGAUCUCUGUCUCAGUGACAGGCAGAGGCCGCUCCUGCUUCCUAUUUUUUUUUUUAACAUGUAAGUAUUCCUCUCUAAGAAGUCUUCUUCAUCGUUAUCUUUUGGUUGAAUUUCAAUUUCUCCAUGAUGGUAUUCAUUUACUUCUGUAGAAUUUACAAUGGACCCCAUCUCACUUUUUCCACCAGCAGCAUGGACUGUAGAAUCAUACUACCUGUCGUCAUUCGAGUUCGAACCCUACUUUUUGUAAUGGUUUAAGUUCAUAUAUAGAAGUGGAUCCCAAAGAGAUUAUGUUUUUCAUCUUUUAGUGAAUUAAACAGCGAAAAUUAAGAAUCUGAAGAUGCUUGUAUAUAAGUUACCGUUUUGGUUGGAGCCGAGCCCUAAACUACUUUUGGCACUGAUAUUCCAUAAUUAACUAGUUUCCAUCAUUAGUAGUA
RNA transcript from Jatropha curcas, 1823 nucleotides. It is a transcript of the gene named cell cycle checkpoint control protein family, with no coding region annotated. Lineage: Eukaryota; Viridiplantae; Streptophyta; Magnoliopsida; Malpighiales; Euphorbiaceae. The record is from RefSeq and is a predicted model, not a curated record.